AGUGAACGCUGGCGGUAGGCCUAACACAUGCAAGUCGAACGGCAGCACAGUAAGAGCUUGCUCUUAUGGGUGGCGAGUGGCGGACGGGUGAGGAAUACAUCGGAAUCUACUUUUUCGUGGGGGAUAACGUAGGGAAACUUACGCUAAUACCGCAUACGACCUACGGGUGAAAGCAGGGGAUCUUCGGACCUUGCGCGAUUGAAUGAGCCGAUGUCGGAUUAGCUAGUUGGCGGGGUAAAGGCCCACCAAGGCGGCGAUCCGUAGCUGGUCUGAGAGGAUGAUCAGCCACACUGGAACUGAGACACGGUCCAGACUCCUACGGGAGGCAGCAGUGGGGAAUAUUGGACAAUGGGCGCAAGCCUGAUCCAGCCAUACCGCGUGGGUGAAGAAGGCCUUCGGGUUGUAAAGCCCUUUUGUUGGGAAAGAAAAGCAGCAGGUUAAUACCCCGCUGUUCUGACGGUACCCAAAGAAUAAGCACCGGCUAACUUCGUG
RNAcentral lists this ribosomal RNA (492 nucleotides) under uncultured bacterium. Its description in RNAcentral is "partial 16S ribosomal RNA". It matches the Rfam family "Bacterial small subunit ribosomal RNA", at positions 29 to 507 of the family's 1533-position model. The record is from RNAcentral.